UGUAUUGCUGAAUUCAUUCUACUUUGCCUAUUUGCUCAUUUCUUUUCAUAAUAAAACUUUUUAUUCUUCACUAGAAACGACGGAAUAAACCCCCGAGCGAAUCUCUUGCGGUAAGCAGAGAAUAACUGAUUCACUCAGUAUAAAAAUCCCACAUUACUAUUUGCCCUAUUCGAGCCAUUGCAUUUACAAUUUGUUUGCCUCUUUCUCAUUUAUUUUGUAAUAAAACGUGUUUUUAUUCUUCCUAGAUUGAAAACGAUGAAGUUGGCGCGGUCGUCGUGAACCACCAAGACGAACCCGCUGGCGACAUCAUUGUGGCUCUUCCGGAGACCACCAUCUGCCUGGUUCCGUCGGUUGGUUGUGGCGACACCACCUGCCCAGAGCCGCCGACCCCUGGUACCAACAUCUGCCAGGUAAGUAGUAAAGGAACUAUUUUAUUUUCUGAGUUAAUUAAUGAUAAUGAGCUACAGAACUAUAGUAAGUUGAUCCCAUAACUAAUCGUAUCGCUCUUCAUCAGGAGGAGCCAGAGCAGGUUGCUGAGCCUGGCGAGGAGAUUGAGGUAAGCAUAAGGCUAAUAGAGAGGGAUAAACGCAAAUCAAAGUCCCUUAUCAGCCAAUCGGCUUAUUUACAACAGAAAUCAUACAACCUCGCUCAUCUUUUUCAUUUCCCUUUCUUACCCAGGAGCGCCCAGAAAC
Long non-coding RNA from Xenopus tropicalis (tropical clawed frog), 692 nucleotides. RefSeq lists it as uncharacterized. Lineage: Eukaryota; Metazoa; Chordata; Amphibia; Anura; Pipidae. The transcript is spliced from 4 exons. The record is from RefSeq and is a predicted model, not a curated record.